This 253-nucleotide ribosomal RNA is filed under the name uncultured bacterium. RNAcentral's name for it is "partial 16S ribosomal RNA". It matches the Rfam family "Bacterial small subunit ribosomal RNA", at positions 524 to 776 of the family's 1533-position model. The record is from RNAcentral.
GACGAACCGUGCAAACGUUGUUCGGAAUCACUGGGCUUAAAGGGCGCGUAGGCGGGCCAGCCAGUCUGUGGUGAAAGCCCCCGGCUUAACCGGGGAAGUGCCGUGGAUACUGCUGGCCUCGAGGAGGAUAGGGGCAUCUGGAACGGUCGGUGGAGCGGUGAAAUGCGUUGAUAUCGACCGGAACUCCGGUGGCGAAGGCGGCAUACUGGACCACAUCUGACGCUGAGGCGCGAAAGCCAGGGGAGCAAACGGG